Syngnathoides biaculeatus (alligator pipefish) is the source of this 5385-nucleotide RNA transcript. It is a transcript of the gene named regulator of G-protein signaling 5-like, with no coding region annotated. The record is from RefSeq and is a predicted model, not a curated record. Lineage: Eukaryota; Metazoa; Chordata; Actinopteri; Syngnathiformes; Syngnathidae. The transcript has 3 exons.
CGGACUAACAGGUGUUUGAGGGUCAGAAUUCUACCUGAUGGACAGGUGUUCAAAUACUUAAUUGCAGCUGUGUCACACAAAUAAAUAGUUAAAAAUCAUACAUUGUGAUUUCUGGAUUUUUUUUAUAUUAUCUGUCUCACAUUGGACAUGCACCUAUUGUUCUGCCCCAAGUGUUUAAUAUGUUAAGAAGAUCGAUUUUAUUUGAAAAGAUCUGUUUGUGUUGUUAAUUUUGAGAGUGCAUUGCUGAGCUUUUAUUUUGAAACUGUAGAAUACAUGAAGUAGGAAGCGCUGAGCAGAGCGAAAAACAAACAAAAAAAAAAAACAUGUCAACAGUUGAAAGAUGUUGGUUGAAAUCAUCUUAUUCCUGUGGAUGAAUCCGUCAGAAAGCAAUGGCUUUUCACUCCAUUUUCAUUGUUUCACCCGACUUAACCUGUUAAGAAGUCAUUAAAGGAGCAAGCACGCUCACUUCCUGGCUCUUGAGAAGGAGUUUGGCUGGCUGUUUAUUCAUGUUAGCACUUUGGAAGUAAAACACACGAAGAGAACAGUACAUUGAAAAGCCAGUGAAUGAGAAGGAUUCGUCUGCCACCGUUAUGGAAGCACAAGCAAUAGAAAGGGAGGAGAAAGCGGCAUCAGUGUUCAGCUCCAACUCCAAAGCAACUUCCAAGUCUUCAGUAGUUAGUGGUGCUGCUAGAGCUAGAGCUAAAGCCGAAGCUGCACGCACCAGAGUCACAUUCGCUCAGAAGGAGUUCGAACUGAAAAGACAGAGAGCUAGAUUGGAUUUGGAAAAGGCUACACUAGAAGCGGAUUUAGAAGCUCUAGGACUGGAAAAGGCAGCUGCUGCUGCUAUUGUAGAGGCUGAAGUUUUAGAAGCUGCAGCAGGACCAGAAUAUGAGGAUAGGUGCAGCGCCAGGAGUCGCAUCUCAUCGCAGAUAACAUGUCAGCGUACAAAGGCAUAUGUGGAACAUCAGGCUCGAGCCAUCUUUGUAACUGAAUCGUCUGUGGAUAUAAAUCCUCAUUGUUUUAAAGAAGCGUCGCCACCAAGACAGCAGGAAGCUCCUGAAUUAACCCCUGCACACAACUGUGAUGCCACGCCUACAAGGAACACACAGCAAAGUGAGUACUUAUCAGCACCUCAGCCUCAGACAAGCCUGUUUAAGCGCUCCAACCCGCACUCUCAGCCUCUCAGCUCGCAACCUCAGAACCCCCAGUCCUCCUUUAAAGCCUAUCAGGAGCAGAGCUCUCCCUCAUUCAGUCAUGCUAGCCAAUCAAACCACUUCAUAUAGAGCAACCCACAGCAUUCUUCUUCUGCUCCAGCCGCUAACAUGAUAGACUUCGCUAGGUACCUAGCCCGCAGAGAGUUGGUAACCACGGGACUCACUAAAUUCGUUGACCAGUCUGAGAGCUACAGAGCAUGGGAGUCCUCUUUCCUUAACGCCAUUCAGGGCUUAGAGUUGACACCCAGUGAAGAGCUGGACCUCCUGGUAAAAUGCCUGGGAAAGGAGUCAUCUGAACAUGUUAAAAGAAUACAUGCUGUCCACAUCACCAAUCCUCACGCUGCUCUCGAAUUAGCCUGGACAAGACUCCAAGAAUGCUAUGCUACCCCUGAAGUGAUUGAGAAUGCUUUAUUCAAACGAUUGGACAAUUUUCCUCGGCUAACCUCCAAAGAUAACAUCAAGCUAAGAGAACUUAGCGAUCUGAUCUUUUCUCUAUUCUCAGCCAAGCAGGAUGGCUAUCUACCAGGACUGAGCUACCUUGACACUCCUCGAGGAAUUAAGCCAAUCGUGGAAAAGCUGCCACCAAACUUACAGGAAAAAUGGCUGUCUGCUGGCUCAAACUACAAAGAACGGUACAGAGUGUGUUUCCCUCCUUUCUCGUUUUUUGUUGACUUUGUCAGAUGUCAGGCAAAGGCCAGAAAUGACCCCAGCUUUGUGUUGGUGAGCAGUAACCGCAGCCAUUACCAUAGUGAAAGAGCCACAACCAAGCAUGAUAGUGCUAGGACAGCUGUGUUUGUGCAUAGAACAGAUGUGUCAACAACAGAUUCAAGCUUGUUACACAAAACAUCUCCUGACAAGAAAGGUAGUGAUGACCCAACCAAGUACUGUCCAGUGCACAAUAAGCCACAUCGUCUGGAAAAAUGUAGAGCUUUUAGAAUGAAGCCGCUAAUGGAACGCAAAAGGCUGCUAAAAGAAUACAGACGUUGUUUCAAGUGCUGUUCUGGUACUCAUGUGGCUAGAGAGUGUCCAGCAGAGCUGAAAUGCAAUGAGUGUGAACGCAAUCAACAUUGCACUGUCAUGCACCCAGACACUGCUGUCUCCCCUGCACCAUCUCCUCCGACAGAAUCAGACGUAGAACAGCAAAACAGCUCUCCUCCAGAAGUGACCUCCAGGUGCACCAAGGUCUGCGGCGAAGGUCUCCCACCAAGGUCCUGCGCCAAGAUAUGUUUAGUCCGGGUUUUUCCCCAAGGACAGCGAGAACGCUCAAUUAAGAUGUAUGCCAUCCUCGACGACCAGAGCAAUCGAUGACUGGCCAGGUCUGAAUUUUUUAAGCUGUUUGACAUCCAAGGGGACCAUACACCUUACCUGAUGAGGACCUGUGGUGGAACCACGGAAAUCACUGGGAGAAAGGCUGUUGGUUUUCAGAUCGAAGCAUUGAAUGGUGAAGUGUGUUUGGACUUGCCUCCGCUCAUUGAAUGUAAUGAAGUUACGAGCAACAGAUCGGAAAUCCCUUCUCCAGAGAUCGCUCACUCCCAUGCUCACUUGAGAUCCAUGGCACCUCACAUCCCAAAGAUCGAUCCUAAAGCACAGAUCUUAAUCCUACUGGGGAGAGACCUCAUACAAGUUCACAAGGUGAGAGAUCAAAUCAAUGGACCCCACAACGCUCCCUUUGCUAGGAUGGGUUAUUGUAGGGGAGGUUUGCAUCGAUAGUACAUACAAGUCCAAUGUAUCAGUCCUUAAAACCCAUGUCCUACAGAAUGGACGCCCAUCUUUUCUGAUGCCCUGCCAGAAUCACAUCAGUGUGAGAGAGAGAGUAGGCUACGGCGGGGAGCACAGACAGUCUACCUCCGCACAGCUGACAACAUAUCCUGCGUCUGGUGUUACUGCAAAAGAUAAACUCGGACGAGAUGUGUUCGUGAGAACGGAAGAUGAUAACAAACCUGCCUUGUCCUUCGAAGAUGAGACCUUUCUGGAGAUCAUGCAAGCAGAGUUCAAGAGAGAUGAGCAAAACAGUUGGAUCGCUCCUCUACCAUUCAGAACACCCAAACCACACCAACCAGAAACACCCAGAUCCUUUGAGCUGGUGGAUCCUGAGGAAGACGUGGAUGUGAGGCCUCAGCUGACCACUCUUUCUACUUCGCUCAGAGAAAGUGAACUCACCUCAGAACGAUUCCAACAGUUCUCGACCUGGGAGUCCUUGCUGAGAGCAGUUUCCUUCUUGAUCCAUCAGAUUCGCUCACACAGGACAAACUCAACAGUUACAUGUAAAGGAUGGCAUCAGUGCAACCAACCUCGCACUCCAGAAGAGUUAGAAGCGGCAAAGAUCGUCAUAAUCAAAGCUGCCCAGAGAGAUGCUUAUCCAGAAGAGUGUGUCGCACUACUAGAGAACAGGGCCAUACCAAAAUCCAGCACGAUUCUGAAUCUCGACCCUUUCGUGUGUGAUGGUCUCCUGCGAAUAGGAGGAUGUCUGAGACAUGCUUCAGUCAAUCCCGAGGUCAAAAACCCAAUCAUUCUCCUGAAACAAAGUUACAUCACAAGAUUGCUCGUGAGUCAUCACCAUGCGAAGGUGAAACACCAAGGACGGCAGUUCACAGAGGGAGCAAUCAGGGCUGCUGGUCUGUGGAUUGUUGCUGGCAAAGGAUUAAUAGGCUCAGUUCUUCAUCGCUGUGUCACAUGCUGCAAGCUCAGAGGAAAACUUGAGACACAAAAGAUGGCUGACCUCCCUUCAGAACGUCUGAGCUCAUCUCCACCAUUCACGUAUGUAGGGUUAGAUGUUUUUAGACCCUGGAAUGUGAUCAGUCGACGCACAAGCGGCGGAAUGGCUCAAAGUAAGCGAUGGGCUGUACUUUUUACAUGUAUGAGCACCAGGGCUGUACAUGUGGAAGUUAUAGAGUCCAUGGAUACUGCCAGUUGUAUCAAUGCCCUGCGAAGGUUCUUCGCCUUAAGAGGGCCAGCUAAGCAACUGAGAUCGGACAGAGGCACGAACUUUGUGGGAGCCAGCUCUGAGCUGUGUAUGGAACGAGCUGAUCCAGGUCAAGCCUCCACUCUUAAGUUCCUCCACGAGAAUGGUUGUACCUGGGAAUUCAAUCCCCCACACGCAUCCCACAUGGGAGGAGUCUGGGAGCGCAUGAUCGGCAUAACCCGAAGAAUUUUUGACUCCAUGUUGCUGCAAACCAGACAUACUCACCUGACCCAUGAAGUGCUUUGCACCCUCUUGGCAGAGGUAUCUGCUAUCAUCAUGGCAAGGCCUUUGAUCCUAAUCUCUUCUGAUCCCACUUCUCCAAUGACGUUGACCCCUGCUAUGCUCUUGACCCAAAAACCGGGGAUACCUGCUCCACCUGGAGGCUUCAACGAAAAGGAUCUCUUCAAGUGUCAGUGGAAACAAGUGCAAGCAUUGGCAAACGAAUUCUGGUCUCGAUGGAGGGAUGAAUAUCUCCACACCCUUCAGCCAAGAUGCAAAUAGCACACACCACGUCGUAACCUGCAGGUUGGAGACCGAGUGCUGCUGAAGCAGAGCCAGACACAUCGCAACGAGUGGCUGAUGGGGCUUGUCGUCUCCACCUUCCCAAGCAGUGAUUGACAAGUCCGCAAAAUUGAAGUCAACCUGUUAAGAAGUCAUUAAAGGAGCAAGCACGCUCACUUCCUGGCUCUUGAAAAGGAGUUUGGCUGGCUGUUUAUUCAUGUUAGCACUUUGGAAGUAAAACACAUGAAGAGAACAGUACACCUAUGAUGAAAAUUUCUGACCCCUCCAUGAUUUCUAAGUGGGUGAGUGAGUAGUUCCUACAAACAGAAAUGUCUUUUUCUUUGUUUUUGUUGCUUUGUUGUUCUCUGUUCUGAAUGUCAUACUAGGGCAGCACCGACUGCCACAGAAAAAUUCCUUGUGUGUUUUUACACACUUGGCCAAUAAAUUCUGAUUCUUAGAACUUCACAAAUUUAAAUAGAGUCAUCCACAUUUUAACUGGAAAGUUGUAAAAACAUUUUUUUUAUCCUUCAGUCUCAUAUUGUUUUUGUUUAUAUUCCUCUAAAAGGACCUUUAAAAGUUUUUUUACACUUGUCAUUUUGCCACUGUGUUUGUUUUUGUGUAUCUUUAUGUGCUGCUGCUGAAGAGGUUUGUUGCGUCCCUGUCGAUGAAAAGCCUUUGGAUUCCUUCUCGAAGAUGUCCACCCGAGUC